UUUCUCACGACUAAAAUCUAUUAAAAUAUAGUACUUCUGCUGACGAGCAGGUGCGAAAGAGCUGGAAAAGCUAAAUUGAGUGAUUUUAGUAAAAAAACAGCUCAUGUACGGUUUUAACCCUAAAUGUACGUUUUCAGCGCUGGAUAUGUGCGUUUUGAGAACUCCGUUGCGGCAACACUGCACUCCCUCCACUUCAUUCAUACAACAUACAAUAACAACGAUAAAACAAAAUUACAAAUGGAAUUUCCUUAUUUAAAUAGAUAUUUGUGCACUAAAUACAUAAUAAUAUGACAAAGAAGAAGAAGACGUUGCGUGUCACCGUAUAGCCAAGGAAAUAUCUUGUGAAAGUUUUAACUCAAGGCGGAAAUUUAUUGAAAAAAUACUCAACAUAACCUACAAUUACAGUGAAAUACUGAAAAUAUCUUGUACCGUGAUAAUAUUUCUGAAUAAUAAGUGCAAACCCAUACUCUAAGAUCGUGCUUUCAACCACAUACUUAAUACAAUUCCAUAAUCAUAUCGAAAUCCAAAAGUUCGUAAGUCGUAAGUGAUCAUAGUUUAGGUGUGUACUUAUUAGACUCAUGCAUUGUAAACUCUAUAAACGAUUACUCGUAAUGUAUUAAUCAUAUUAAAAGUUGAA
Plutella xylostella (diamondback moth) is the source of this 637-nucleotide long non-coding RNA. RefSeq lists it as uncharacterized. The record is from RefSeq and is a predicted model, not a curated record. Lineage: Eukaryota; Metazoa; Arthropoda; Insecta; Lepidoptera; Plutellidae.